CGCAAUGGGCGAAAGCCUGACGGAGCAAUACCGCGUGAGGGAUGAAAGCCUGUGGGUUGUAAACCUCUUUUCUCAAGGAAAAAAUUUUGACGGUACUUGAGGAAUAAGCAUCGGCUAACUCUGUGCCAGCAGCCGCGGUAAUACAGAGGAUGCAAGCGUUAUCCGGAAUCACUGGGCAUAAAGCGUCUGUAGGUUGCUUAGCAAGUCUGCUGUUAAAGAUCAGGGCCUAACCCUGGGAAAGCAGUGGAAACUAGUAGGCUUGAGUGUGGUAGAGGUAGAGGGAAUUCCUGGUGUAGCGGUGAAAUGCGUAGAUAUUAGGAAGAACACCAAUGGCGAAAGCACUCUACUGGGCCACACUUGUCUUUAAGAGACGACAGCUA
Molecule: ribosomal RNA, 380 nt
Filed under: uncultured organism
Description: bacterial SSU rRNA
Rfam family: Bacterial small subunit ribosomal RNA
Source: RNAcentral